UAUACUGUCUCCUUUUUCUAAUCAGUGAAACUAAUUUUCCCGUGAAGAAGCGGGGAUAUAACUAUAAGACGAGAAGACCCUAUGGAGCUUUAAACAACCCAGCAAUUACUUCUAAAAUUGUAAAUUUCAGAAUAUUCAUUUCUUAAGUAAUAUGUCUGCAAGUUUUUGGUUGGGGUGACCAUGGAGAAUAACAUAACCUCCAUAUUGAAUGAAUUCCCUUCUAAGCUGAAAAUUACCAAUUGAAGCAUCAACAUACUGACAUCUAUUGACCCAAUAUAUUUGAUCAACGAACCAAGUUACCCUAGGGAUAACAGCGCAAUCCACUUCAAGAGCCCCUAUCGACAAGUGGGUUUACGACCUCGAUGU
RNAcentral lists this ribosomal RNA (366 nucleotides) under Rhinella gildae. Its description in RNAcentral is "partial 16S ribosomal RNA". It matches the Rfam family "Bacterial large subunit ribosomal RNA", at positions 2012 to 2532 of the family's 2925-position model. The record is from RNAcentral. Lineage: Eukaryota; Metazoa; Chordata; Amphibia; Anura; Bufonidae.